GAGUCUGAUCCUCUGAUCAAAGCGCGAGACGUCACUUCACGCAGCGAAAUGGAAGAUGCUUACUUUCCUAAAAUUCAGUCAGCUCAACUAAAGCUACGUUAGCAAACACAUUAAGAAGUAGAUUUAUUUGAAGUUUUGAUGUUUACAGUUUUAUUUUUAAAGCUAAAUUAAAUGUACAUUUAGCCGAUAACGUAACGCCACAGAACAUCUUCAAGUGGGAACGUCAUCAACAAGUUUCUUUUUGAUUUAUGAAUCCCAAAACCUUCCAUUCAAGUUCAGCAAAGAGGAUUUUGUGCCUUUCCUAUUGAAUUUUUUGCGGGAUCAGAGCAGCCAGACUUUGACCCAUGGCCCCACCACACCUGCCAAGACCCCAGCACCUCCAGAUCUGUCAGGACUCAGGGCUCUUAUGACCAGAGAAGCAACAGAUCCACAUCAGUUCAGUGUCCACACAGCACUAGAGUCGAGUUCCUGGAGCUGUUCUUCGUGCUGCAGCUCCUGACAUCUCGUGGCAUGUCUGUCUCCGAGUCUGCGGAGGGAGGAAUCAGUGUCUGUGAAGACAGCCCAGCUGUCAGCCGGGGAGAGGAGAACAGGUGACAUGGAGCAGACAGCUCGACUUCUGGCCAAGUUUUUGGGCUUCAUCUCUUUCCUGCCUUACCAGACCUCUGAGCUUCCACCAAGAGACAUGCUUAGAAGCAAUGUCUGCAAUGUAUAAAGUCAAGAUUUUAUUUUGCCUAGAAAACACGCAUUUUCACAACCUAAUUUGUUUUAUAUAUGUGUAUUGUCCGAGUUCUCCAGUGCUGGAUGUGUGUUUUUCUCUCAACUGUUUACUUUCACUUUAGACAUAAGCAUAACCACCUGUGUUUAUAUGUAAACCUUGUGUGUUUCUGACUGUAUUAGCACAUUCAGAUGUAAAAGAUAACUUAGUCCAGUCAGUAGCCAUUAGCUGUUUGACAGGAUUUUAGUGUGUGCACGCUUCAGGUGUAUGUGCUCAGAAAAAGCGCACAUCAGAACAACACACAAAUUAAAUAUUUAACAGGCAAGGCUUGUUAAAGCAGAUGCAAAUAAUCUAUUUUGUAUUUUUUACACACUGUUGAAGAUGAGAGCAGUUUUUUUAAUGCAUUAUUAAGUGAAAGAAAGUGGUUCAACUGACCACAAAACUCACUGUUCGGAUCAUAUCACGGUUUUAUGGAUCAGCAAGAAAAAAAAAUUCUGUGUAAUUUUGCUUUCCAUUUUUUACUUAAAGCGAAGUACUUCUUUGAUACCACCUGGAAAAGCUACUAACCUAACUAGAAAGACCCAUUACAAUUAAAGACAAGUUGCCGGGGAACACAUAGAGCAUCUGCUAAAUGCAUAAAUUUAAAUUGUAAUUUAAUUUAAUUUAAAGACAAGUGAACAGCCAGUAAAAAACAAAUACACAAAUCACAAGCAUAGAUAUAUAUAACAGAACAAAUGUAUAAAUAACUUGUUCUUGCGCUGGAAUGGUUUAAAAUCACUCGAGUGUGUA
This is a long non-coding RNA of Carassius gibelio (silver crucian carp), 1504 nucleotides long. RefSeq lists it as uncharacterized. The transcript is spliced from 3 exons. Lineage: Eukaryota; Metazoa; Chordata; Actinopteri; Cypriniformes; Cyprinidae. The record is from RefSeq and is a predicted model, not a curated record.